UUGCCGGCGACCGGCGACGGGUGCGUAACGCGUAUGUAACCUACCUUUGACAGGGGGAUAACAUCGAGAAAUUGGUACUAAUGCCCCAUAACAUCACCGGAGGCAUCUUCGGUGGUUGAAAACUCAGGUGGUCAGAGAUGGACAUGCGUUGUAUUAGCUAGUUGGUGAGGUAACGGCUCACCAAGGCGACGAUACAUAGGGGGACUGAGAGGUCAACCCCCCACAUUGGUACUGAGACACGGACCAAACUCCUACGGAAGGCAGCAG
Molecule: ribosomal RNA, 267 nt
Filed under: uncultured bacterium
Lineage: Bacteria
Description: partial 16S ribosomal RNA
Rfam family: Bacterial small subunit ribosomal RNA
Source: RNAcentral